GGCGACGUGGCCAAGUGGUAAGGCAGAGGUCUGCAAAACCUUUAUCACCGGUUCGAAUCCGGUCGUCGCCUCAA
This 74-nucleotide transfer RNA is filed under the name Anaerolineaceae bacterium. RNAcentral describes it as "tRNA-Cys". It matches the Rfam family "tRNA". From Rfam's summary of the family: Transfer RNA (tRNA) molecules are approximately 80 nucleotides in length. Lineage: Bacteria; Bacillati; Chloroflexota; Anaerolineae; Anaerolineales; Anaerolineaceae. The record is from RNAcentral.